GGGGGCUCCCGAACAGCCUCUGGUGUCCACAAGGAGGAACGUCAUAAACGUGGAUGGCACUAACGAAGGGGGCCGCGAACGGGCCAAGCCGGGCCCCUCCUUGCAAGUCUGCACCCUCCCCGGUGCAGGUGAGGAGCCCAGGCUCGUCCUGCAGCCUGGCGGGGCAGCGGCUUGACGACCUGGACAAAAAAGCCGUCUGUGGCUUGUGAGUUGGAUCCCCUCCAUGGUGCCUGUUCUCCAAGGCAGCAGCUGGACUGAGUGCCCACCACCCUGCCUCCAGGAGCCUGCUUCCGGCCCCUUCCACCUGCCCCCCAAGACCCCCUGCAGCGGGCAGGCAGAGCCGAGUCUGGACAGCAACACGGGACGUUUGGCGGGUGGGCAGCAUGGCUGGAGUGGGGAGCAGUGGGGUGGGGGGUCACAGCUGUGCCACCCAGGGCUGAACCCACCCUGUGGGUUCCACUCUGCACUUCAGCGGGUGCUCCUCAGGACCCCCCCACCCUCCUGCCCAGUCUGGCGGCAGGACAAGGACCGUGCUGCCCCCUGGUGCCCGGAGCCCAGCCUUGCUGAUUGCUGGGACAGCAGGUGUGCACAGCUGGACACCAGGCUUGGAUUUCGUCCCCUGUGAGACCUUGAUAAUCAUCCUGAAGUUGCUCAAA
Molecule: long non-coding RNA, 656 nt
Organism: Felis catus (domestic cat)
Lineage: Eukaryota; Metazoa; Chordata; Mammalia; Carnivora; Felidae
Exons: 2
Source: RefSeq, a predicted model, not a curated record